GGCGGCAGAGGGCGCCUGGCGCUGCGGUCCGGAGCGCCGAAGCCGCCCGCGCGGGCGCCGAGAGGAGAGGCGAGGCGAGGCGGGGAGCGCGAGCGGCGGCGGCCACUGCCACGUCUUCCCGGCAGUGGCGGCGGCGGCGGCGCGGGAGGAGGAAUAAUCCAGGUCGCCUUCACUGGAAAUCAGUUUGCUGAAACUAUUGAUACGCAGUUCUUAACGCUGAAGAAAAGGAGGUCCUGCGCCUUGACCACACAAGCGUGGCCCUUCCUCCAGACCCCCGCUCCGGACGCGCCCACCUAGCGUCUCCCAGGAACCAUGCGGCAGCUCAAGGGGAAGCCCAAGAAGGAGACGUCCAAGGACAAGAAGGAGCGGAAGCAGGCCAUGCAGGAGGCCCGGCAGCAGAUCACCACCGUGGUGCUGCCCACGCUGGCCGUGGUCGUGGUCCUGAUCGUGGUGUUUGUGUACGUGGCCACGCGCCCCACCAUCACCGAGUGAGGGCCCGCCCCGAGGGAGGAGGCUCGGGAGGGGAGAGCAGAAGAAGGGCCUUCAUCCGCUGCGAUUUUCCUGAUGCCGAGCUCUGAGCAGGAGCCCCCGUCUCCUCUGGUCUGUGACUUGAUUAAAGGUUCUCCACUUUUCUCGGGAGGGAAUAGGAAACGUUUUAUCAGUGAACGUGCCAUACACCUUAUGGUCCACUUCAUGUGCCUUUCAGACUUCAAAGCCGUGUGUGUGUGUGUGUGUGUGUGUGUGUGUUUCUCGCCUGCAAUCGAUGUGUAGCCCCACCUGGUGAGAGGAGGCGUCUCUGGGUCACGGAUCAGUUGGAAUCAGUGCUCACCCCAUCCCCGUUGUUUUGAACAUGACUUUCCUACACGUGUUCACAAUUUCCAAAGGGACUGUGUUUCUUCUCUGUGCUUCAUGUGAUUUGAAAUAUGUCGACUCAAAAGUGAAAUAUUUAUUUUUUGAAUAAAGGAGAUGAUAGCC
Molecule: long non-coding RNA, 975 nt
Filed under: Sus scrofa (pig)
Lineage: Eukaryota; Metazoa; Chordata; Mammalia; Artiodactyla; Suidae
Description: lncRNA (ENSSSCG00065046812.1)
Source: RNAcentral